This is a long non-coding RNA of Camelus dromedarius (Arabian camel), 247 nucleotides long. RefSeq lists it as uncharacterized. Lineage: Eukaryota; Metazoa; Chordata; Mammalia; Artiodactyla; Camelidae. The transcript is spliced from 3 exons. The record is from RefSeq and is a predicted model, not a curated record.
AGAGUCGUUUGCAGUGUGGCUGAGCCUCCCGUUUGGAUUCUGUGUGCCGAGGAAUGGAUUUGGUGUGCGGUAACGACGUCACGGGAUUUGAAUGUGUCGAGAUGCCGUGUGCUGGGUAGUGGCUCUCCUGUGGUUGUCACGGAGCUCCUGCAGGUUGGGUAGUUGUGGAUGAGAGCAGGUACGCGCUCACAUGACGACCCUCCACCUCCCCACCCCCGCUGGAGGAUUAAUGGCAAAGAAGACGAGG